GACGAACGCUGGCGGCGUGCUUAACACAUGCAAGUCGAACGGGCCCGCCCCUGUUUUUGGGGGUGGGUUGAGUGGCGAACGGGUGAGUAUCACGUGAGUAACCUGCCCCCUGCUCCUGGAUAACUGCUUGAAAGGGCGGCUAAUACGGGGUGUGCCGGCUGGUCCGCAUGGGCCUGGUCGGGAUAGUUUCAUCUUCGGGUGUUUCGGUGGGGGAUGGGCUCGCGGCCUAUCAGCUUGUUGGUGGGGUGAUGGCCCACCAAGGCGGUGACGGGUAGCCGGCCUGAGAGGGUGGGCGGCCGCACUGGGACUGAGACACGGCCCAGUCUCCUGCGGGAGGCAGCAGUGGGGGGUAUUGCACAAUGGGCGGAAGCCUGAUGCAGCGACGUCGCGUGAGGGAUGGGGGCCUUCGGGUUGUGAACCUCUUUCUCCGGUGGUGAAGGCCCUGUCCGUUGCGGCGGGGUUGACGGUAGCCGGGUAUGAAGCGCCGGCUAACUACGUG
RNAcentral lists this ribosomal RNA (499 nucleotides) under uncultured bacterium. Its description in RNAcentral is "partial 16S ribosomal RNA". It matches the Rfam family "Bacterial small subunit ribosomal RNA", at positions 28 to 507 of the family's 1533-position model. The record is from RNAcentral.